RNAcentral lists this ribosomal RNA (281 nucleotides) under uncultured Staphylococcus sp. RNAcentral describes it as "partial 16S ribosomal RNA". It matches the Rfam family "Bacterial small subunit ribosomal RNA", at positions 81 to 355 of the family's 1533-position model. Lineage: Bacteria; Bacillati; Bacillota; Bacilli; Caryophanales; Staphylococcaceae. The record is from RNAcentral.
CUCCUUUGACGUUAGCGGCGGACGGGUGAGUAACACGUGGGUAACCUACCUAUAAGACUGGGAUAACUUCGGGAAACCGGAGCUAAUACCGGAUAAUAUUUCGAACCGCAUGGUUCGAUAGUGAAAGAUGGUUUUGCUAUCACUUAUAGAUGGACCCGCGCCGUAUUAGCUAGUUGGUAAGGUAACGGCUUACCAAGGCGACGAUACGUAGCCGACCUGAGAGGGUGAUCGGCCACACUGGAACUGAGACGACGGUCCGGACUCCUACGGGAGGCAGCAGU